UUUCAUUUUUUUCCUUUUUUUUUUUUUUUUUUUUUACGCAGGGAGACUUGGGGAGUUGUUUACCAUGCAAGUCGUACGGAAAGGCCCUGCUUUUGUGGGGUGCUCGAGUGGCGAACGGAGUGAGUAACACGUGAGUAACCUGCCCUUGACUUUGGGAUAACUUCAGGAAACUGGGGCUAAUACCGGAUAGGAGGUCCCUGUUGCCAUGGUGGGGGUUGGAAAGUUUCGGCGGUUGGGGAUGGACUCGCGGCUUUUCAGCUUGUUGGUGGGGUAGUGGCUUACCAAGGCUUUGACGGGUAGCCGGCCUGAGAGGGUGACCGGCCACAUUGGGACUGAGAUACGGCCCAGAUUCCUACGGGAGGCAGCAGUGGGGAAUAUUGCACAAUGGGCGGAAGCCUGAUGCAGCAACGCCGCGUGCGGGAUGACGGCCUUCGGGUUGUAAACCGCUUUCGCCUGUGACGAAGCGUGAGUGACGGUAAUGGGUAAAGAAGCACCGGCUAACUACGUGCCAGCAGCCGCGGUGAUACGUAGGGUGCGAGCGUUGUCCGGAUUUAUUGGGCGUAAAGGGCUCGUAGGUGGUUGAUCGCGUCGGAAGUGUAAUCUUGGGGCUUAACCCUGAGCGUGCUUUCGAUACGGGUUGACUUGAGGAAGGUAGGGGAGAAUGGAAUUCCUGGUGGAGCGGUGGAAUGCGCAGAUAUCAGGAGGAACACCAGUGGCGAAGGCGGUUCUCUGGGCCUUUCCUGACGCUGAGGAGCGAAAGCGUGGGGAGCGAACAGGCUUAGAUACCCUGGUAGUCCACGCUGUAAACGGUGGGUACUAGGUGUGGGGUCCAUUCCACGGGUUCCGUGCCGUAGCUAACGCUUUAAGUACCCCGCCUGGGGAGUACGGCCGCAAGGCUAAAACUCAAAGGAAUUGACGGGGCCCCGCACAAGCGGCGGAGCAUGCGGAUUAAUUCGAUGCAACGCGUAGAACCUUACCUGGGUUUGACAUGGAUCGGGAGUGCUCAGAGAUGGGUGUGCCUCUUUUGGGGUCGGUUCCCAGGUGGUGCAUGGCUGUCGUCAGCUCCGUGUCGUGAAGAUGUUGGGUUAAGUCCCGCAACGAGCGCCAACCCUUUGUUCACUGGUUUCGCCAGCCCUUUUUGGUGGGGAACCUCUGUGGAGAACCCGCCGGGGUCAAUUCCGGAGGAAGGUGGGGAAAUGACGUCAAGUCUAUCAUUGCCCCCCUUUUGCUCCGGGGUUUCCCCGCCUUCUUACAAAGGGUGGGUGGAUACAGAGAGGUGGGGAACGCCGUGGGGGGUGGGGGUGAGCGAAAUAUUUCGGAAAGCCGGUCUCAGUUCGGAUUGGGGUCUGCAACUCGACCUCAUGAAGUCGGAGUCGCUAGUAAUCGCAGAUCAGCAACGCUGCGGUGAAUACGUUCCCGGGGCUUGUACACACCGCCCGUCAAGUCAUGAAAGUUGGUAACACCCGAAGCCGGUGGCCUAACCGUUGUGGGGAGCCGUCGAAGUUGAAACCGGAU
This 1515-nucleotide ribosomal RNA is filed under the name Cutibacterium acnes. RNAcentral describes it as "bacterial SSU rRNA". It matches the Rfam family "Bacterial small subunit ribosomal RNA". Lineage: Bacteria; Bacillati; Actinomycetota; Actinomycetes; Propionibacteriales; Propionibacteriaceae. The record is from RNAcentral.